UACAUAAAAUAAUAAUUUUGGAGAUUAUAGACAAAGAGAUUCUUUUUCUUUGAAGUUUUCAAAGA
Molecule: transfer RNA, 65 nt
Filed under: Papilio bianor (Chinese peacock)
Lineage: Eukaryota; Metazoa; Arthropoda; Insecta; Lepidoptera; Papilionidae
Description: tRNA-Pro
Source: RNAcentral